This 678-nucleotide long non-coding RNA is filed under the name Pan troglodytes (chimpanzee). RNAcentral describes it as "long non-coding RNA NONPTRT010084". The record is from RNAcentral. Lineage: Eukaryota; Metazoa; Chordata; Mammalia; Primates; Hominidae.
UUGACGUGUCUUAUCUUGGGACAUAAUCUUUCCAGGAAAAUUAUAUGGGAUAGCAUGCUAAACUAGUGGAUGGCCUAUGCUUUCUAAAAGAAAUAAUCUCUCUGAGGUUUUCUUGGAGGUGCUUGCCUGAAAGAAAACCUAGACUCCACUUUGAAGACUUGGUGUUAUGGCUUUGUUUUUGAACCUUGUCUAUACAAGUAACUGAUUCCCUCCAUCCAGAAACUUUAAAAAGGAAGAGCUUAUUGCUGAGUUUACCUAUAAUUGACAGGGCACAGUAUAAAGAUUAGAUAUUGAAAACCUCAAUGCUACUCCCACCAGGCAAGCACUAGAUGAACAGGUCAAUAAAAAGAAGCAUUAAAGUAAACUUGGCUUCUAUUUCUUCUGACACAGUACAGUAAAUGGGAAUGAACCAUGGCCUGUUUUCUGUAACGUAUUCAUUCAUUCAACAUUUAUUACUGAUCACUUGCUCUACACUAGAAAUACACAAUGAAUAACAUUGCCACAGUCUCAGCCACCAUGGAUAUUAAUGUUAUAAACCAACAGCAGCUAAUAUCUAUUUAACCCUUGUGAAGUGUCAGUAUCAUGUCAAACAUUUCACAUGCAUUACUUCACUUAAUUCUGACAGCAACCCUAUGAAGAUAUUACUAUUCCCAUUUUUCAGAGGAAAACACUGGAGAG